UACAGAGGUCUCAAGCGUUGUUCGGAUUCAUUGGGCGUAAAGGGUGCGUAGGCGGCGCGGUAAGUCGGGUGUGAAAUCUUGGAGCUUAACUCCGAAACUGCAUUCGAUACUGCCGUGCUCGAGGACUGGAGAGGAGACUGGAAUUUACGGUGUAGCGGUGAAAUGCGUAGAUAUCGUGAGGAAGACCAGUGGCGAAGGCGGAUCUCUGGACAGCUCCUGACGCUGAGGCGCGAAGGCUAGGGGAGCAAACGGG
Molecule: ribosomal RNA, 253 nt
Filed under: uncultured bacterium
Lineage: Bacteria
Description: partial 16S ribosomal RNA
Rfam family: Bacterial small subunit ribosomal RNA
Source: RNAcentral